Molecule: transfer RNA, 139 nt
Filed under: Kluyveromyces lactis
Lineage: Eukaryota; Fungi; Ascomycota; Saccharomycetes; Saccharomycetales; Saccharomycetaceae
Rfam family: tRNA
About the family: Transfer RNA (tRNA) molecules are approximately 80 nucleotides in length. Their secondary structure includes four short double-helical elements and three loops (D, anti-codon, and T loops). Further hydrogen bonds mediate the characteristic L-shaped molecular structure. tRNAs have two regions of fundamental functional importance: the anti-codon, which is responsible for specific mRNA codon recognition, and the 3' end, to which the tRNAs corresponding amino acid is attached (by aminoacyl-tRNA synthetases). tRNAs cope with the degeneracy of the genetic code in two manners: having more than one tRNA (with a specific anti-codon) for a particular amino acid; and 'wobble' base-pairing, i.e. permitting non-standard base-pairing at the 3rd anti-codon position.
Source: Rfam by way of RNAcentral
GCCCCUGUAGCUCAGUGGUUUAGAGCAUCGUGCUUAUAGUGUGACUCCAAUCAAUAUGGAACAUUCUAUGAAAAUUGGCCCUUCAAAAGGUCGUUUCAAAGCAACGCGAUAGUCGUGGGUUCAAACCCCACCAGGGGCA